RNAcentral lists this ribosomal RNA (497 nucleotides) under uncultured bacterium. RNAcentral's name for it is "partial 16S ribosomal RNA". It matches the Rfam family "Bacterial small subunit ribosomal RNA", at positions 28 to 507 of the family's 1533-position model. The record is from RNAcentral.
GAUGAACGCUGGCGGCGUGCCUAAUACAUGCAAGUCGAGCGAACGGACGAGAAGCUUGCCUUUCUGAUGUUAGCGGCGGACGGGUGAGUAACACGUGGAUAACCUACCUAUAAGACUGGGAUAACUUCGGGAAACCGGAGCUAAUACCGGAUAAUAUUUUGAACCGCAUGGUUCAAAAGUGAAAGACGGUCUUGCUGUCACUUAUAGAUGGAUCCGCGCUGCAUUAGCUAGUUGGUAAGGUAACGGCUUACCAAGGCAACGAUGCAUAGCCGACCUGAGAGGGUGAUCGGCCACACUGGAACUGAGACACGGUCCAGGCUCCUACGGGAGGCAGCAGUAGGGAAUCUUCCGCAAUGGGCGAAAGCCUGACGGAGCAACGCCGCGUGAGUGAUGAAGGUCUUCGGAUCGUAAAACUCUGUUAUUAGGGAAGAACAUAUGUGUAAGUAACUGUGCACAUCUUGACGGUACCUAAUCAGAAAGCCACGGCUAACUACGUG